UUUAAGUACAACCAUAAAUUUUUAUGCCCAACUUUAAUCGUCUAUCUUGUUUAAAUUUUUUUAAUUAGUAUUUUUAUUGUUAUGAGAUGAUAAAAUAUGAAUAGUAUUAUAUGCGUGACUUAUGUUUUUAAUUUUUUCAAAAAAAUUUAAAUAACACGGACAAUCAAAGUUGGGCACGAAAACUCAUAGGUGUACUUAGG
This is a microRNA precursor of Oryza sativa Indica Group (long-grained rice), 200 nucleotides long. It matches the Rfam family "MIR812 microRNA precursor family". The record is from Rfam. Lineage: Eukaryota; Viridiplantae; Streptophyta; Magnoliopsida; Poales; Poaceae.